Uloborus diversus is the source of this 504-nucleotide long non-coding RNA. RefSeq lists it as uncharacterized. The transcript is spliced from 4 exons. The record is from RefSeq and is a predicted model, not a curated record. NCBI's taxonomy places the organism in Eukaryota, Metazoa, Arthropoda, Arachnida, Araneae, Uloboridae.
UGUCAACCGGAAGUUCCAGAAUGUUGUCUUGUUUUUGCUUAACAACAUGGCGAUUCGUGAGAAAUCUACUUGUGGUUUUCUACGUAAGUCCUUAAUUCAAAGCUUUUAAAUGAAAAUUAAUAUUCACAGUAAAGAGAAAAUAUCAGAUGGCUCUUGAAAAUGCAGCUGUUAAUGCAAACCAUGAAGCUGACAGAAGUGCAGGAUAAUUCACUUCCUUUUAAUGAGAUUGUGAAUGGAGAUAACAAAUAAGAAUGCCUGUAGUGAUGACCAUUCUUUACAUGCUGUGGAGGAAGUUCUGCUGAUGAUUACGCUAUUUCUAAUUAAGUGGCGCUGUUAAUUUAAAACUGACUUGGAAAAAAAGAAAAAAAGUGAUGUAGAUGCCAGCUAUUAAAGAAGACUAUUCUGUAGUUAUGAUUGACUCUAUUUGUACCUUUGACUCUUAUUUGUAGUAAAAAAUUUUGAACUAAAAUUUUUAAUGCAAAUAAAUUUGUUUAAUUUUUCUAA